GGGGGAUAUUGCACAAUGGAGGAAACUCUGCUGCAGCGACGCCGCGUGAGGGAAGAAGGUUUUCGCAUUGUAAACCUCUGUCUUCGGGGACGAAACAAAUGACGGUACUCGAGGAGGAAGCCACGGCUAACUACGUGCCAGCAGCCGCGGUAAUACGUAGGUGGCAAGCGUUGUCCGGAUUUACUGGGCGUAAAGGAUGCGUAGGCGGAUGUUUAAGUGAGAUGUGAAAUACCCGAGCUCAACUUGGGUGCUGCAUUUCAAACUGGAUAUCUAGAGUGCAGGAGAGGAAAGCGGAAUUCCUAGUGUAGCGGUGAAAUGCGUAGAGAUUAGGAAGAACACCAGUGGCGAAGGCGGCUUUCUGGACUGUAACUGACGCUGAGGCAUGAAAGCGUGGGGAGCAAACA
Molecule: ribosomal RNA, 404 nt
Filed under: uncultured Eubacteriales bacterium
Lineage: Bacteria; Bacillati; Bacillota; Clostridia; Eubacteriales
Description: bacterial SSU rRNA
Rfam family: Bacterial small subunit ribosomal RNA
Source: RNAcentral